AGUGUAUUAUUAUUAUGAUAUCAUGCAAUGUUCAUCUCAAUAGUAAGCCUAAGUAUGACCAGGGGCAUGUUCGGGUCAGGGUCUGUGGGAUUGUUUGAGGCUUGGUCCAGGAAGGUAGACUCAUUGGCGCCGGACACAUCUGGCUUCCAUUAACAAACUGAUAAGAUACACAGGAUGUAGAGAGGGGGGGCAACGGCGGGGUCAUAGGUCAGCCAACAGCCCCAUCCGCGCGCUCCCGCGUGGAGGGAAGCGCAAGAGUAUAAGGUUUAGGACGGGAGUAGACAGGGGGACUCGACAUCUUGGCUAGGGCGCGAGACACUUCUCUCUGACAUCGGUUGAAUAAAAUCUUUCCCCAAUCAGCCAUGUGUGACUGAAGUUUUCCUUCCCCAAGCCAGCCACUUUUUCACCAUCUUGUUUGGAAGACCAGCUGACCAUCGAAGAGAAUUCACCACAAUUUUGGCGUCACGAACAGUUCUCUUGUCCUUCGGGGAGCCCUCGCCCGCCUGGGUGCGAGCAUCGAGCGUCCGGCCGGCAGGCUGAGUUUGAGGCUGACAGGGGCAUGAGAAAGGAGAGCUGAGAAGCGGGAUCCACUUUGGUCGAGGAGAUUGGAAAUUCACAGCACCAUAUUCUAAGUCGCAUUUUUGAGCAAGCAUGACACAGGUAAUAACGCGUGAGAGAUCAAAACAUAGAUCAGGGCUAGUUGUGGGACGCAGACCUCUGAGUUAAUUUUGAAUAAUGAUACUGACGACACAAUGUACUGUCCCCUUAAACUGGAACUAUAGACAAAACCUAGCUCGACAAUAGGAUGAGUUGCAGGACUUACAAUAUAAAGACGACAUUGCCGUUACUAGGAGAAUUCGACUUUUGGUAAACAAACGUUACUAGUGAAUGGAGGGCAGCAGCUACAUUUGGAGAUAGCCUUACAAGUUUGGUGUCCCAGUCUGUCUCUCUCAGUGCCAGGAUCCCUGAAAACUCGACCCCGAGACUCCGCCUGCAGCCGUGGACGACUACAAAACGGUGCCUGGCUUUGAGGCACCUUUGACCUUUGGCAAGGACAAAGAAAGACUGUUGUUGUGCUUGGAGGGGGUAAGUACACUCCGGGGAAAAGACAACAUCCUCGGGGACGAGAAAAAGACAGUGAGAAGUGGAGGAACUCACAAUGUUGAAGAAAAAAAUGGACAUUUGAACAAUGGACUCAUUCGAGAGUGAUGGAUGUGUUGGCUCUGAAGCAACAACAAAAGAACACCAUCUUGAGAGGGUGAGGUGCGACAAAAGAUAUGGACUUGAAAUGUCCGACGGCCAAAUCGCACUCCUUGCCGCGGCGGUGCUAAAACUUCGUGGGGCUUGGGUUAGAGUGGACAGGAGCUUCAUUGUGCACUGGGUUUGACAGAACUGAGGAGAUUUGAUAAAGGAUUGAAUAAUGCGUAGAGCUACAGAGAGAAGCAUCAUGGUCAGAGAUUGAACAGAUUUGAAUAAAACAAAUAGGUUAAAACGGUGGGAAACAAGAGCGAGAUCUGAUGUUUUGGCUCACCACACAUAAGAAGUAGAAAUCGAGUUAGAUAGAUUUUAGAACGGGACAUCUAGACUAAAGUGGAUUCAGUCAAGAGGAAGCUAGGACGCUCGAGGUACCUACUCAAUACGAUAGAAGUUUGUUGCACCAUAGUGGAGGUUGGGUAGUCAGAAAGUUGGAUCCGUUAAAUUUUUGACUUUCACACAUUCAUGCAUAGGAGUCGCACAAGGCCACAGGUCACAAGAUAAUGACUGAGAUAGGGCUCAAAUUCAACUGCACCCACACGGCAAUGUAGAAGCAGGAGAGCGGAGUAAGGGAUUAUAUGCUAAACAGUCCGCUGUAGGGUUACCAAUAGGAGAUUCUGUCAAAAGAACUACUAAGAGGUGGAGGCGAAGAUAAUAGGAGGACAUAGAUAUUCGAGGGGUUGAUAAGGGCAAACUCCAUUGUCAAAGAUGGGAUUAGAGCAAAUUGGAAUUUGCCAUUUUAACAGGAAUUGACAGCGAGGGAGAUUGAGGAUAGAAGAUCCGGACAGCAAUGACGUAAAUUACAUUAAAAACUGCUCAUUCGAGGGAGAAGGCUCGGCGCUCCCUGUGUGGAGCUGCAGCUUUGCAGAAGGGGGGCAGACCGCGCGAGUGAGUGGAUGAAAGGAGUGGUGAUAGGCGACCACAAGGAAAUAGGGAGAGGUGUUGGAUGGUGUGACAGGCAGGAGGUUUAGGAAGAAGUAGAAGAAAGAAAAUAAAAAGGGGGGGAGUGAGACUCGCCAAGAGGGGCAAUAAAGAGAAGCAGACUGAGAAACAGUUUUGAGCAAGACAACGGGAAAAAAAGGGGGAGAGCCAAAUGAUGACGUAAAAAGCCAGAGAGAAUAGUCUGACCCAUCUUUAUUGAAUUUAAUUAAGAUAAGUAAUAGAGAUCGAGUUUGUAGGACCAAUACGAGGGUAUGGAGGCUCCCUCAAAACGCGGGUCCCACAGUUAGUCCCUCAGAUAGACAUAUAUGACAAUUUGCGAUGAAUCUGAUGGGCGAGUUUAUGGAAAAUUGAAUUGGAGAUUUUAUAAUAGGUCAUGUUGACGAAUAUGUCCGAAUGUGAAGAGUCACUAUUAGGAGUCAAUAUUUGCCUACACACUAAGAUACUAACUUUGCUUGGUUUGGGGGGAGAGCUGAGUGAUUGAGACGGAUGAGUGUGUCUGUGAGUGUGUGGAUGGGUGAGUGCGCAUGUGAUCAUCUACGGCUGUGUGUGCGCAGUAUGAUUGGCCAGAGAGGUCUGAAGUUGGGGUGAUGUGUUUGCCAUUGAGGAUAAGAUUCCUCUCACCUGAAGGGGUGGUACAGAUCGGAGGGACUGGAACUGGUAAGUGAUGAGCUCUGAUCGGAACCACGGUUCAAUGAUCAAUCAGGGGCACCAUCGACAACCAAACGGUUCAAUGGAGAAGGCCCGUUUUAGUGAUAUGGUCAGACAAGACAGAACUAGUAUUGGACAUCAAGACUUUGGACGAUUUGACGUGUGACGACUUUGAGCUCACCCAACGGGGUGACGGACUAGGUGGACAGUGACCAAAUGUUUGACGCUUGAGCUUGCUUGCGACAUGAGCGAGCCCUGCUUUGGGUUUCUGUGCGACUUGACCUUUUUUUUGCAGCAGCAACGGCCGCCAGCCAAGGAGCGGAUUGCGCGUUGCUGGCGUAACUUGCUUUCGUUCUUGCAGGUUGUCGAUUGCGUUCGUGGAACGUUUGUGUUGAAUUUACAAGAAUAUGUUAACCCUUGCUUUUUUGGUUUUUAUAAUGGACUUGUUGAUUACAUGGUUUUCAGGACAGGAUCCCCGAGCGCCAGGAUUCAUUUUAUGACUGUUUUUGUUUUGAUACUUGAUGUCUGUUUUUGUGUGUACAAAUGUCCGCUGCCAGCAGGGCUACAAGCUCACUGACAGGAGUGCGCUGAUUUUUGUUUGUGUUGCCGAGUGUGUGGUGGACAGUCAAGUUUCAGAGACUUGGGGUGACGGUCCCGGGGCCCAGAUGGAAGCUAGAGGUUCCGUGGGCCUGGCUACAAUGUGUGUGGUGAUGAGAGGGGACGCUUUGCAGGUUCCUUUUGAUACGUAAUGACACAUUGGGUGAAUGUGUCAAACGGGGGGAGUGGUAAAACAGAAAGGGGUGAGUAGGUUGCAAUUUGUAAUUGUGAUAUACAAAGUUUUUUUCCAAAUUCACUUGUUUUUAAGCUUUAACAGGACACGCCAGAAUUCAACUAGCAGUGAUGGAAGGAGCAGAAGAAGCGUCUUGAAAGAAAGGGAGUUAACGGGAGACAACAGCCUGGAAUGGAUGCGAAGCGUGGUAACAAUUUAGUGACAAUAAGGUUUAAGUUUUUUCAAUGACAAAGUGCGAAGGACAAAUCAUACAGUGAUUUGGGAAUGGACAGUGGCACAAUACACAACGAAAGUUUGGAAGGUUAUUGACUGUGAGGAAGACGGGGCCAGAGACAAGGAACGGGGAAAUUUCUGAACGAGUGACUGCAUCAAAGCUGCUAUUACAGGGCAAAUGUUUAAUUAUACAUUUUAGGACGAGUAGUUUGCAGAACGAAUACAGAAAGGAUUUGGUGGCUGUACCGUUUUGGAAAGAUUACAUGAGCGUUGUUUCAGAAUGAUGACUGGUUUGAACAGUGAGGUGGCUCAAACAUAAGGCACGGAUACAUAAAGGUACAGAUCUAGGAAACUACAGUAUUGUGAGGGGUACCGGUUUGAGAAUGCUACACGUCUUUAGACUGAAGAAGGGAUUUGGGGGUGACAAAUAGUAUUUGGACGGGAAAAAGAGCGGUUGAAGUGACAUGACUGACGGGACUUCAGAAAGAUGAGUGUGAUUGAGACAGUGACACCUGCGACAGGAAAGGCUACCAGGAACAGGUAGAAUUUACAUUGUGACUGGGGGGAUCUAGCAUCGCUGUCGGCACGACGAGAAAUGAGGGGAAUGAGUCCUGGAGUGUUUGCUUGUUUGUUUGUUUGUUUGUUUGUUUGUUUGUUUGUUUGUUUCAGGGACUGCGUGGGCCUCUGGAAACGAGGGGUAGGUGUCGGGAGCCCUCGGGCGUUCUGAUGAGAUUUCAAUGAGACGAUUGACGCAGCUUUCUCCUCGUUGCCCCAUCACCGCCAAAUAAUUAUUUGAGGGGGCUGGAAACACUGGAGCUAUCGGGUUGUGUUGCCCCGCCAGCGGUGGCCGUCGGGGCCGGAAGGACGUCCGGCCUGGGCUGCGGCUUUUGCCAUUAUGACUUCACAUGUUUGCACUGUUAACGUCACUUGAUACAGACAGUAGCUUUAGCUUGUCAUAGGUCGCCUGGCUACUGACCGGGGCCUUGCACGGGAUUCAACGGCCAUCAUAAGCAACAGGAGGACACUGAACGGACAGCCGGCCCGGGACGGUGCCGUCUACUACUAGUGCUAUUUUCCACUGACGGAUCAAUGGACUGGAUUUCAUAUCUGCACGUACUUGUGCAUGCAAGGGGGGCAGCGCAACGACGGGUUUAAUGUUCUUGCAUGCUUUGACGAUUUGUUUUUAUAUACCUCACUGUGUUACAUCUGUGUUUUUUGCCAUGAUAUUUACUUUAUUAUGUGACCUCAUUUGCUUGCCCCGUGGCAUGUUUACGAUACGACGUUGCAUGUUGAGCGAUCUGUAUUUGAGGGUCAUGGUUCUGCUUGUUGCUGUGUUUAGGGCUCAUGCUACGCUUUGUGAAAUGUGGUGUGUGCCGGAGCUCCCUUCACCUGACUCUCGCCAGGUGAGAGGCGCCUCCGGGGGUGUAGAAUGGGCCUCCCUCUUUUUCCUCGUCAUUAGAUUGGCGGGGUUUUUUCGACGGCGGUCCGGCAACUUUUUGGGGCUUCUAACGGGCCACAGCAAACUUUUCCUCUCCAAAUUGAUGGCGUUGGUGAUAUAUUGCCGAAGGGGGGUGUGCGGACGGCGUCAAUCAGUUAAUGGGGUUGGGGGAUUCGAUCUUGGUCAAAUGUGGUUCCUGAGAGGCCUCAGAUUGCUGUCAGGGAGGAAUUUGCUAUUAAAUUAGGUUGAGCUUUCCUAGUUAAUGUAACCUUAAGUAGCAUGCCUUGAGCAUGGUUUAGGAUGAGACAAAUAGGUCCAAAUUGUAGACGAAAACCAUAAAAUGGUUGGGGGAAGGUUUUUUUGAUGUACCGAUGUCUUUUCGUGUUGAGUUGUUGCCGGGGCACUUGGGGUGCCCCGGCAGGGGGGUUUAUGUAGUGUAUUAUUAUUAUGAUAUCAUGCAAUGUUCAUCUCAAUAGUAAGCCUAAGUAUGACCAGGGGCAUGUUCGGGUCAGGGUCUGUGGGAUUGUUUGAGGCUUGGUCCAGGAAGGUAGACUCAUUGGCGCCGGACACAUCUGGCUUCCAUUAACAAACUGAUAAGAUACACAGGAUGUAGAGAGGGGGGGCAACGGCGGGGUCAUAGGUCAGCCAACAGCCCCAUCCGCGCGCUCCCGCGUGGAGGGAAGCGCAAGAGUAUAAGGUUUAGGACGGGAGUAGACAGGGGGACUCGACAUCUUGGCUAGGGCGCGAGACACUUCUCUCUGACAUCGGUUGAAUAAAAUCUUUCCCCAAUCA
Molecule: long non-coding RNA, 6077 nt
Organism: Syngnathus typhle (broad-nosed pipefish)
Lineage: Eukaryota; Metazoa; Chordata; Actinopteri; Syngnathiformes; Syngnathidae
Exons: 2
Source: RefSeq, a predicted model, not a curated record